GACGUAGGGCGCGAGCGUUGUCCGGAUUUAUUGGGCGUAAAGAGCUCGUAGGCGGCUCGUUGCGUCGGCUGUGAAAACCCGCAGCUCAACUGUGGGCUUGCAGCUGAUACGGGCGGGCUGGAGUUCGGUAGGGGAGACUGGAAUUCCUGGUGUAGCGGUGAAAUGCGCAGAUAUCAGGAGGAACACCGGUGGCGAAGGCGGGUCUCUGGGCCGAUACUGACGCUGAGGAGCGAAAGCGUGGGGAGCAAACAGG
Molecule: ribosomal RNA, 253 nt
Filed under: uncultured bacterium
Lineage: Bacteria
Description: partial 16S ribosomal RNA
Rfam family: Bacterial small subunit ribosomal RNA
Source: RNAcentral